RNAcentral lists this ribosomal RNA (350 nucleotides) under uncultured Prevotella sp. RNAcentral's name for it is "bacterial SSU rRNA". It matches the Rfam family "Bacterial small subunit ribosomal RNA", at positions 355 to 703 of the family's 1533-position model. Lineage: Bacteria; Pseudomonadati; Bacteroidota; Bacteroidia; Bacteroidales; Prevotellaceae. The record is from RNAcentral.
UGAGGAAUAUUGGUCAAUGGACGCAAGUCUGAACCAGCCAAGUAGCGUGCAGGAUGACGGCCCUAUGGGUUGUAAACUGCUUUUAUGCGGGGAUAAAGUUUGGGACGUGUCCCAUUUUGUAGGUACCGCAUGAAUAAGGACCGGCUAAUUCCGUGCCAGCAGCCGCGGUAAUACGGAAGGUCCGGGCGUUAUCCGGAUUUAUUGGGUUUAAAGGGAGCGUAGGCCGUCGUUUAAGCGUGUUGUGAAAUGUCGCGGCUCAACCGUGGCACUGCAGCGCGAACUGGAUGACUUGAGUUCGCGGGAGUAGGCGGAAUUCGUGGUGUAGCGGUGAAAUGCUUAGAUAUCACGAA